This 200-nucleotide ribosomal RNA is filed under the name uncultured bacterium. RNAcentral describes it as "partial 16S ribosomal RNA". It matches the Rfam family "Bacterial small subunit ribosomal RNA", at positions 8 to 216 of the family's 1533-position model. The record is from RNAcentral.
AGAGUUUGAUCAUGGCUCAGGAUAAACGCUGGCGGCAUGCCUAAUACAUGCAAGUCGAACGGAGAACAAGAAGCUUGCUUCUUGUGAUCAGUGGCGAACGGGUGAGUAACACGUAGUUAACCUACCCAACGGACUGGGACAACUUUUGGAAACGAAAGCUAAUACCGGAUAGGAAGAAAUUUUAAAGAAGCGAUUGCUUC